ACGAACGCUGGCGGCGUGCUUAACCCCUGCAAGUCGAACGGUGAAGCGCCUUCCUUUUUGGUGGGUGUGGAUGAGUGGCGAACGGGUGAGUAACACGUGAGUAACCUGCCCCCUUCUUCUGGAUAACCGCAUGAAAGUGUGGCUAAUACGGGAUAUUCUGGGUCUGUCGCAUGAUGGGUCUGGGUAAGAUAUUGUUUCGGUGGGGGAUGGGCUCGCGGCCUAUCAGCUUGUUGGUGGGGUGAUGGCCUACCAAGGCGGUGACGGGUAGCCGGCCUGAGGGGGUGGACGGACACACAGGGACGGAGACACGGACAAGACGCAUACGAGAGGCAGCAGUGGGGAAUAUUGCACAAUGGGCGCAAGCCUGAUGCAGCGACGCCGCGUGAGGGAUGGAGGCCUUCGGGUUGUGAACCUCUUUCGCCAGUGAAGCAGGCCUGACUCGUUUGUGGGUGGGUUGACGGUAGCUGGAUAAGAAGCGCCGGCUAACUACGUG
This 493-nucleotide ribosomal RNA is filed under the name uncultured bacterium. Its description in RNAcentral is "partial 16S ribosomal RNA". It matches the Rfam family "Bacterial small subunit ribosomal RNA", at positions 29 to 507 of the family's 1533-position model. The record is from RNAcentral.